This is a long non-coding RNA of Oncorhynchus keta (chum salmon), 988 nucleotides long. RefSeq lists it as uncharacterized. The transcript is spliced from 3 exons. The record is from RefSeq and is a predicted model, not a curated record. NCBI's taxonomy places the organism in Eukaryota, Metazoa, Chordata, Actinopteri, Salmoniformes, Salmonidae.
GCAGAGCAACGUGAGCGCAUGGUGUGAGCAAAGGGCAAUGGAUACAGGGACAUUCUAUGGGUGGAAGGAGCCAAAUCAGGCAGUUACCCUCUGAUAGUGAGGACAGUGAACUUGAGGACAGUGACAGCUAGGAAGAAUGGACCCAAUAAUCAGAUGCAAAGGCCUACACCAUUCAACCUGCAUACAGCCAGCUCAGCCCUGUUCGUUUUAUUGUCCAAUCGCAGUUUUCUCUUUGUCUGUGUAAAGGGGCUGAAUGUAUUCAUCCUCCCUAGGGCCAGGAGAUUUUCCAGAAGUUUUUUUUUAACCAUAUGACCUGAUAAGAAAAAUAAUCUGGUCCUAUCGUAGGCCAUAGCAGGGACAGGGAAGAUGGUUAAAAUUGAUGGGAAGAUGGAUGGAGCCAAAUACAUGACCAUUCUGGAAGAAAACCUGAUGGAGUCUGCAAAAGACCUGAGACUGGGACGGAGAUUUGUCUUCCAACAAGACAAUGAUCCAAAACAUAAAGCAAAAUCUACAAUGGAAUGGUUCAAAAAUAAACAUAUCCAGGUGUUAGAAUGGCCAAGUCAAAGUCCAGACCUGAAUCCAAUCGAGAAUCUGUGGAAAGAACUGAAAACUGCUGUUCACAAAUGCUCUCCAUCCAACCUCACUGAGCUCGAGCUGUUUUGCAAGGAGGAAUGGGAAAAAUUCAGUCUCUCGAUGUGCAAAACUGAUAGAGACAUUCCCCAAGCGACUUACAGCUGUAAUCGCAGCAAAAGGUGGCGCUACAAAGUAUUAACUUAAGGGGGCUGAAUAAUUUUGCACGCCCAAUUUUUCAGUUUUUGAUUUGUUAAAAAAGUUUGAAAUAUCCAAUAAAUGUCGUUCCACUUCAUUAUUGUGUCCCACUUGUUGUUGAUUCUUCACAAAAAAAUACAGUUUUAUAUCUUUAUGUUUGAAGCCUGAAAUGUGGCAAAAGGUCGCAAAGUUCAAGGGGCCCGAAUACUUUCGCAAGGCA